AGUCUUAUAUUCAUAUAAUGAUAUUAAAUUGCAAAUUUAAAGGAAUAAAAUAAUAUUUAUUAAGACUU
Molecule: transfer RNA, 68 nt
Filed under: Endoclita minanus
Lineage: Eukaryota; Metazoa; Arthropoda; Insecta; Lepidoptera; Hepialidae
Description: tRNA-Cys
Source: RNAcentral